GAUGAACGCUGGCGGCGUGCCUAAUACAUGCAAGUCGAGCGAACGGACGAGAAGCUUGCUUCUCUGAUGUUAGCGGCGGACGGGUGAGUAACACGUGGAUAACCUACCUAUAAGACUGGGAUAACUUCGGGAAACCGUAGCUAAUACCGGAUAAUAUUUUGAACCCCAUGGUUCAAAAGUGAAAGACGGUCUUGCUGUCACUUAUAGAUGGAUCCGCGCUGCAUUAGCUAGUUGGUAAGGUAACGGCUUACCAAGGCAACGAUGCAUAGCCGACCUGAGAGGGUGAUCGGCCACACUGGAACUGAGACACGGUCCAGACUCCUACGGGAGGCAGCAGUAGGGAAUCUUCCGCAAUGGGCGAAAGCCUGACGGAGCAACGCCGCGUGAGUGAUGAAGGUCUUCGGAUCGUAAAACUCUGUUAUUAGGGAAGAACAUAUGUGUAAGUAACUGUGCACAUCUUGACGGUACCUAAUCAGAAAGCCACGGCUAACUACGUG
RNAcentral lists this ribosomal RNA (497 nucleotides) under uncultured bacterium. RNAcentral describes it as "partial 16S ribosomal RNA". It matches the Rfam family "Bacterial small subunit ribosomal RNA", at positions 28 to 507 of the family's 1533-position model. The record is from RNAcentral.